Molecule: long non-coding RNA, 234 nt
Filed under: Ananas comosus (pineapple)
Lineage: Eukaryota; Viridiplantae; Streptophyta; Magnoliopsida; Poales; Bromeliaceae
Description: long non-coding RNA (ACOM_LNC039521)
Source: RNAcentral
UGUCACGCCCUAGGACCCGGCCUAGGCCCGCCCGGUGCGUGCCCAGACCCGCCAUAUGCCUACACAUAUAAGGCGUCUACAACAAUAGCGAAUAAAUGAACAAUAAAUAGAGCGUAUCUAGAGAUAUCAGAGCAAGUAUACAGCUAGGUUCUAACAACAGGUAGAAACAAAGGAAACUAAACCACUAAGGCAAAACGUAAAAUAAUACAUCAUAAAUCUCAAGCUACAUAUAGG